UGAAUGGCUUUGAAGAGGACAAGUAGUGGAAGAAGCAUCCCAAGAGAGAGGGUGGCCGGUGAAAACCCUCGUUGCGGAUUCCAUGAAUACACCUUGGAGCUUCCCCGUUGAAAGCGGGGACGUCCAUCCGCGUUACGGAUUCGAGGCCGAAAGGCAACUAAGGUGGUACCGUGCAGAUCCUGCGCCCUUGGA
RNAcentral lists this non-coding RNA (192 nucleotides) under Bacillota bacterium. Its description in RNAcentral is "Firmicutes bacterium T-box sequence". It matches the Rfam family "T-box leader". Rfam says of the family: Uncharged tRNA acts as the effector for transcription antitermination of genes in the T-box leader family. Lineage: Bacteria; Bacillati; Bacillota. The record is from RNAcentral.